This 253-nucleotide ribosomal RNA is filed under the name uncultured bacterium. RNAcentral describes it as "partial 16S ribosomal RNA". It matches the Rfam family "Bacterial small subunit ribosomal RNA", at positions 524 to 776 of the family's 1533-position model. The record is from RNAcentral.
UACGAAGGGGGCUAGCGUUGUUCGGAAUUACUGGUCGUAAAGCGCACGUAGGCGGCUUUGUAAGUUAGAGGUGAAAGCCCGGGGCUCAACUCCGGAAUUGCCUUUAAGACUGCAUCGCUAGAAUUGUGGAGAGGUGAGUGGAAUUCCGAGUGUAGAGGUGAAAUUCGUAGAUAUUCGGAAGAACACCAGUGGCGAAGGCGACUCACUGGACACAUAUUGACGCUGAGGUGCGAAAGCGUGGGGAGCAAACAGG